RNAcentral lists this ribosomal RNA (475 nucleotides) under uncultured organism. RNAcentral's name for it is "partial 16S ribosomal RNA". It matches the Rfam family "Bacterial small subunit ribosomal RNA", at positions 334 to 800 of the family's 1533-position model. The record is from RNAcentral.
CACUCCUACGGGAGGCAGCAGUGGGGAAUAUUGCACAAUGGGCGCAAGCCUGAUGCAGCCAUGCCGCGUGUAUGAAGAAGGCCUUCGGGUUGUAAAGUACUUUCAGCGGGGAGGAAGGCGAUAAGGUUAAUAACCUUGUUGAUUGACGUUACCCGCAGAAGAAGCACCGGCUAACUCCGUGCCAGCAGCCGCGGUAAUACGGAGGGUGCAAGCGUUAAUCGGAAUUACUGGGCGUAAAGCGCACGCAGGCGGUCUGUCAAGUCGGAUGUGAAAUCCCCGGGCUCAACCUGGGAACUGCAUUCGAAACUGGCAGGCUAGAGUCUUGUAGAGGGGGGUAGAAUUCCAGGUGUAGCGGUGAAAUGCGUAGAGAUCUGGAGGAAUACCGGUGGCGAAGGCGGCCCCCUGGACAAAGACUGACGCUCAGGUGCGAAAGCGUGGGGAGCAAACAGGAUUAGAAACCCGAGUAGUCCCAUGA